CCUACGGGAGGCAGCAGUGGGGAAUUUUCCGCAAUGGGCGAAAGCCUGACGGAGCAAUACCGCGUGAGGGAAGAAAGCCUACUGGGUUGUAAACCUCUUUUUUCAGGGAGGAAAAAAAUGACGUGUACCUGAAGAAUAAGCAUCGGCUAACUCCGUGCCAGCAGCCGCGGUAAGACGGAGGAUGCAAGUGUUAUCCGGAAUUACUGGGCGUAAAGCGUCUGUAGGUGGUUUAAUAAGUCAACUGUUAAAUCUUGAGGCUUAACUUCAAAACAGCAGUCGAAACUAUUAGACUAGAGUAUAGUAGGGGUAAAGGGAAUUUCCAGUGGAGCGGUGAAAUGCGUAGAUAUUGGAAAGAACACCGAUGGCGAAAGCACUUUACUGGGCUAUUACUAACACUCAGAGACGAAAGCUAGGGUAGCAAAUGGGAUUAGAUACCCCAGUAGUCCUAGCUGUAAACAAUGGAUACUAGAUGUUGAACAGAUCGACCUGUGCAGUAUUAAAGCUAACGCGUUAAGUUCCCGCCCUGGAAGUUUC
RNAcentral lists this ribosomal RNA (534 nucleotides) under uncultured cyanobacterium. Its description in RNAcentral is "bacterial SSU rRNA". It matches the Rfam family "Bacterial small subunit ribosomal RNA", at positions 338 to 884 of the family's 1533-position model. Lineage: Bacteria; Bacillati; Cyanobacteriota. The record is from RNAcentral.